GGAUCCGUAGCUCAAUCAGCAGAGCGCCCCGUUGUCUGCGGGAGGGUUGAGGGUGCGACUCCCUUCGGAUCCGCCA
Molecule: transfer RNA, 76 nt
Filed under: Verrucomicrobiota bacterium
Lineage: Bacteria; Pseudomonadati; Verrucomicrobiota
Description: Verrucomicrobia bacterium (marine sediment metagenome) tRNA-Asp
Rfam family: tRNA
About the family: Transfer RNA (tRNA) molecules are approximately 80 nucleotides in length. Their secondary structure includes four short double-helical elements and three loops (D, anti-codon, and T loops). Further hydrogen bonds mediate the characteristic L-shaped molecular structure. tRNAs have two regions of fundamental functional importance: the anti-codon, which is responsible for specific mRNA codon recognition, and the 3' end, to which the tRNAs corresponding amino acid is attached (by aminoacyl-tRNA synthetases). tRNAs cope with the degeneracy of the genetic code in two manners: having more than one tRNA (with a specific anti-codon) for a particular amino acid; and 'wobble' base-pairing, i.e. permitting non-standard base-pairing at the 3rd anti-codon position.
Source: RNAcentral